UUGAGUAUUACAUUAGUGUAAAAUUAUUCAUUUGAGCAACUAUUUUGACAAUAUGUCAUAAGUGGCUUUUUUACUUAAUUUUAUAUCCAACGUGAUUUUUCUAAGUCCAGCGUUUUGUCCAACAUGGCGAGUUUAAAAAAUGUACGUAUCUCUCUCCUUCUCUCUAACUACUUCCUCUAUUGAAACGAUAAUGUCUCUCUCUAAAUGCUUUGUCAAAUCAUGACAUUUCUCUCUCCCCAAAAGCUUC
This 247-nucleotide long non-coding RNA is filed under the name Eucalyptus grandis. Its description in RNAcentral is "long non-coding RNA (EGRA_LNC003230)". Lineage: Eukaryota; Viridiplantae; Streptophyta; Magnoliopsida; Myrtales; Myrtaceae. The record is from RNAcentral.